UGAAACGAUCUAUAUAGAGCUUAUCAACUAACCUUCCAGAGAAAGGGUAGUAGAGAUUGAGGGUCUCUGACAAAGAUUUCUUGAGUUUGAUUAACUUUUGGGUAAUAUUUCUGGGGUUGGCAUCAAUGGUGGUGUAGAAUAAGAUAAGUGGAGAAUAAGUUGUGGGAGUAAGCUGAUUGAAAAGUAAGAGCUUAUAGGGUUCUUGAUGAUGAAUAAUUGGUGAUGAUGGCUUUAUGACUUCUCUUGAAAUGAUAGCCACUUCCAUGAUGUUCAGGAAGUUUCAAGAUAUAUUGCAAGAGAGAGAGAUAUUAGUUGCAUUUUCCAAGCUUAAUCGGAAGUGUUCUUAUAUAAAGACUGGAAGAGGAGAUUCGCCCAUUCUGAGGCAGUUGGGAGUUAGCAGGUGCUAUAAAACAACAAAUGAAUGCAUAAAUACAGUAUGGGCUCAUGAUUACAUAAUGUAAUAGGCAAUAUGCCCAUAAGCCUAUAUAUGGUUGUGUGCCAGAGUGUGUAUGUUGAUG
This 518-nucleotide unclassified non-coding RNA is filed under the name Hevea brasiliensis (rubber tree). The record is from RNAcentral. Lineage: Eukaryota; Viridiplantae; Streptophyta; Magnoliopsida; Malpighiales; Euphorbiaceae.